This is a long non-coding RNA of Felis catus (domestic cat), 1607 nucleotides long. RefSeq lists it as uncharacterized. The record is from RefSeq and is a predicted model, not a curated record. The transcript is spliced from 4 exons. NCBI's taxonomy places the organism in Eukaryota, Metazoa, Chordata, Mammalia, Carnivora, Felidae.
AGGCCACCGCCUGCGCCGUCCCCGCGGCCCGCAGGCCUGGCGCCCUCCCCCUGUGCCCCGCUGUGCGUGUCUUUUCCUGUUCCCGGUGGUCCUUUCCUGCCUCCUGCCCUCCUCGCUCUGCCUUCCCGCCCACUCCGCGCCCCGCAGCCCAGCUCCCUUCACCCCACUCCUGCCCUCUCUCCUCCUCCGCUCCUCGCUCCUCUGGGUUCGGCCAAGUCCAGAGCUCUCCGAAGCCUCAGCCUGCCCCGGGACCAGCCCUGCUUUCCCCUCCUGCCUCCCCGCUGGCCCGUGAGUUGGGUUUGCGCGGGUGUGCGCAGGCUGUCCUGGGGCCAAAGCCCAGUUUUGUCUCUUGACCCCUGGUAGAUAACUCGGGGACAAGUAUCUCGAAUCAUCCUUCGGGUCUCAGGGGAAGGUUCUAGGAGUGAAAGCAGACAAGAACAGUUCUGGGGAGACCCUUUUAUGCAAAAUACUUUCUCCCACUCUUCAGGAAGGGAGCCGAGGUCCCUUCCCCCCCCCCCCCCCCCCCCCCCCCCCCCGCCGAAUCUCUCAAGACACAGGACAGUUUGCGGCAGGACAGAUGCCUCGCAGCACGAGUGCUUCACCAGGCAUCAGGCGUUGCCAUGCUUUGGUUUCUUUGGUCUAAAUAUACCGGAGUUCAAACGUUCACUUCAGGAUACUUAAGGCCAGUGGGAAAUUCACACUCCAGAGGUACAAAAUGCCUGUCAAGGGGACUCUUCCUCUGCUGAGAAAGAUCUCACUAUUCAAGUGUCACCUUCAUCACCAAAGGGAACCUAACCCAUGGAAUCGAACUUGGCUUUGAGUCCUAGGAGAACGGAGAUAAUGUGUCUGUCUUGUUCACUCUGGAAUCCCUGGGGCCCUGGACAGGGCCUCCCAUGUGACAGGUACUUGUCCAGUCAUUGGGAUGCAAUAGUGGACAAAGCAAACAAAAUCUUUGCUUUCGUGGAGCUGAUAUUCAAGAGUUUUUGUGUGUGUGCACGCAUUUCUGAGGGAAACAGAGGACACAAAUAAAUGAGGUAUUACGUGAGUUGGUGAUGACUGCUAGGAAGAAAAAUAAAGCAGGAAUGGGGAUCAGGAAUGUGAAGGGGUGGGGAGUGAGGGCAGAAUGCCACUUUCAUUAGGGUCAUUUGAGAAAGUCUUCAAGAAGGUGACAUUUGAACAAAGAACUGAAAAGUGAGAGAGCGAGCCACGCAAGCACCUGAGGAAAACAUCUGCCGAACCUCUUUCUGUGAUGAUUUAGAAGACACAUCUGAAUCUUCCUUGCAGGCUAUCAGAGUUAUAAUAGUGAACAUGAAUCAACACUAUUUGGUGCAAUGGGGGAAAAGACGCAGUCUUUUAUUUGUUUGGAUUCCAGAUCAUCAGAAGUUAUGUCAACGGUCAUGCUGGCUCGGUAUGUAAUAAAAAAAAAAAAAAUACUGAUUUGAUUAUUUCAAUGCCUUAAUGUUUUUGGCAGCUAGUUCAUUUUUAGCUCAUAUUUACAAGGACAGCAUUGAAAAGCCUCCAGGGGGCAUUUCCUAGCCUCUGUGUGGCAUAUGGUCCCCACAGUGGGAGAGGGUCAGCUUGCAGAAGAGGGGAGGGAAGGAGGCCAA